AAACUGCGAUAAGUAGCGUGAAUUGCAGACGCUUUGAACGUUAAACUUUCGAACGCACAUUGCGCCGUAGGAGUCCUACCCUGCGGCACAUCUGGUUGAGGGUCGUGAUCAAAAACAGCAGGACUAUGGCUGUAGUAGAAAUAGCUGGUGAAUCACGAGUUCGGCCUACCGCCUCUGGCCGAACGUGUUUUGCCAUCAUGCUAGAAGAGGACAAUCACGAGAGUGAUUGCCUACCACACGGAUGAUCUAUUAGCUGAAGCAAUAGGUCUCGGUCACCGGGUAUCAUGCUUUCAUAUACUCUGUGGCGUCUGAGACACGGCUAGUGGGGGCUUCAUACGUGCCUGGUAUUGAGAGUAUUCGCUCUCCCGACCUCAACUCAGGUGUGAUUACCCGCUGAACU
Molecule: unclassified non-coding RNA, 400 nt
Filed under: uncultured fungus
Lineage: Eukaryota; Fungi
Description: sequence contains ITS1
Rfam family: 5.8S ribosomal RNA (bases 1-105)
Source: RNAcentral